UUUUACCUUCCAGCGGGGACAACGUUCCGAAGGGACGCUAAUACCGCGUACGUUUCUCGGGACUCUGGUCCUGAGAAGGAAAGCUAGGUAGCAAUAUCCGGCACUGGAUGAGAAGCCUGCGUAGCAUCAGCUAGUUGGUGGGGUAACGGCCUACCAAGGCGAAGACGCUUAGCUGGUCUGAGAGGAUGAUCAGCCACACUGAAACUGAGACACGGUUCAG
Molecule: ribosomal RNA, 220 nt
Filed under: uncultured bacterium
Lineage: Bacteria
Description: partial 16S ribosomal RNA
Rfam family: Bacterial small subunit ribosomal RNA
Source: RNAcentral